Molecule: non-coding RNA, 116 nt
Organism: Pteropus alecto (black flying fox)
Lineage: Eukaryota; Metazoa; Chordata; Mammalia; Chiroptera; Pteropodidae
Source: Rfam
GUCUAUGGCCAUGCCACCCUGAACAAGCCCGAUGUUUGAUCUCGGAAGCUAAGCGGGGUCGGGCCUGGUUAGUAAUUGGAUAGAAGAUCACCUAGGAAGACCAGGUGCUGUGGACA